Molecule: ribosomal RNA, 484 nt
Filed under: uncultured bacterium
Lineage: Bacteria
Description: partial 16S ribosomal RNA
Rfam family: Bacterial small subunit ribosomal RNA
Source: RNAcentral
AUUGAACGCUGGCGGCAGGCCUAACACAUGCAAGUCGAGCGGAUGAAGGGAGCUUGCUCCUGGAUUCAGCGGCGGACGGGUGAGUAAUGCCUAGGAAUCUGCCUGGUAGUGGGGGAUAACGUCCGGAAACGGGCGCUAAUACCGCAUACGUCCUGAGGGAGAAAGUGGGGGAUCUUCGGACCUCACGCUACCAGAUGAGCCUAGGUCGGAUUAGCUAGUUGGUGGGGUAAAGGCCUACCAAGGCGACGAUCCGUAACUGGUCUGAGAGGAUGAUCAGUCACACUGGAACUGAGACACGGUCCAGACUCCUACGGGAGGCAGCAGUGGGGAAUAUUGGACGAUGGGCGAAAGCCUGAUCCAGCCAUGCCGCGUGUGUGAAGAAGGUCUUCGGAUUGUAAAGCACUUUAAGUUGGGAGGAAGGGCAGUAAGUUAAUACCUUGCUGUUUUGACGUUACCAACAGAAUAAGCACCGGCUAACCUCGUG